This 465-nucleotide ribosomal RNA is filed under the name uncultured bacterium. RNAcentral describes it as "partial 16S ribosomal RNA". It matches the Rfam family "Bacterial small subunit ribosomal RNA", at positions 338 to 795 of the family's 1533-position model. The record is from RNAcentral.
CCUACGGGAGGCAGCAGUAGGGAAUCUUCCACAAUGGGCGAAAGCCUGAUGGAGCACCGCCGCGUGGGUGAAGAAGGUCUUCGGAUCGUAAAACCCUGUUGUUAGAGAAGAAAGUGCGUGAGAGUAACUGUUCACGUUUCGACGGUAUCUAACCAGAAAGCCACGGCUAACUACUUGCCAGCAGCCGCGGUAAUACGUAGGUGGCAAGCGUUAUCCUGAUUUAUUGGGCGUAAAGGGAACGCAGGCGGUCUUUUAAGUCUGAUGUGAAAGCCUUCGGCUUAACCGGAGUAGUGCAUUGGAAACUGGGAGACGUGAGUGCAGAAGAGGAGAGUGGAACUCCAUGUGUAGCGGGGAAAUGCGUAGAUAUAUGGAAGAACACCAGUGGCGAAAGCGGCUCUCUGGUCUGUAACUGACGCUGAGGUUCGAAAGCGUGGGUAGCAAACAGGAUUAGAUACCCGAGUAGUC